This 497-nucleotide ribosomal RNA is filed under the name uncultured bacterium. Its description in RNAcentral is "partial 16S ribosomal RNA". It matches the Rfam family "Bacterial small subunit ribosomal RNA", at positions 28 to 507 of the family's 1533-position model. The record is from RNAcentral.
GAUGAACGCUGGCGGCGUGCCUAAUACAUGCAAGUCGAGCGAACGGACGAGAAGCUUGCUUCUCUGAUGUUAGCGGCGGACGGGUGAGUAACACGUGGAUAACCUACCUAUAAGACUGGGAUAACUUCGGGAAACCGGAGCUAAUACCGGAUGAUAUUUUGAACCGCAGGGUUCAAAAGUGAAAGACGGUCUUGCUGUCACUUAUAGAUGGAUCCGCGCUGCAUUAGCUAGUUGGUAAGGUAACGGCUUACCAAGGCAACGAUGCAUAGCCGACCUGAGAGGGUGAUCGGCCACACUGGAACUGAGACACGGUCCAGACUCCUACGGGAGGCAGCAGUAGGGAAUCUUCCGCAAAGGGCGAAAGCCUGACGGAGCAACGCCGCGCGAGUGAUGAAGGUCUUCGGAUCGUAAAACUCUGUUAUUAGGGAAGAACAUAUGUGUAAGUAACUGUGCACAUCUUGACGGUACCUAAUCAGAAAGCCACGGCUAACUACGUG